Onychomys torridus (southern grasshopper mouse) is the source of this 164-nucleotide small nuclear RNA. RefSeq annotates it as U1 spliceosomal RNA. The transcript has a single exon. Lineage: Eukaryota; Metazoa; Chordata; Mammalia; Rodentia; Cricetidae. The record is from RefSeq and is a predicted model, not a curated record.
ACAGUUACCUGGUGGAGGCGAUACCAUGGUCAAAUGGGUAGUUUUCCUAGGGUGGCUCAUCCAGGGCACUCAGGGUGUGCUUGCCCCUGCGAUUUCCCCACACGGGGCAAACUUGACUGUAUAAUUUGUGGUGGGGGUGGGGAUGGAGUGUGUUCGUGCUUUAC